UCCCUGGGGUCUCAGACAGUAAAGAAUCUGCCUGCAAUGCAGGAGACCCAGGUUCCAUCCCUGGGCCGGGAA
Bos taurus (domestic cattle) is the source of this 72-nucleotide non-coding RNA. The record is from Rfam. Lineage: Eukaryota; Metazoa; Chordata; Mammalia; Artiodactyla; Bovidae.